RNAcentral lists this ribosomal RNA (325 nucleotides) under uncultured eukaryote. RNAcentral describes it as "partial 18S ribosomal RNA". It matches the Rfam family "Eukaryotic small subunit ribosomal RNA", at positions 1470 to 1796 of the family's 1831-position model. The record is from RNAcentral.
CCCUUAGAUGUUCUGGGCCGCACGCGCGCUACACUGAUGCAUUCAACGAGCCUAUCCUUGACCGACAGGUCCGGGUAAUCUUUGAAUCUGCAUCGUGACGGGGAUAGAUUAUUGCAAUUAUUAAUCUUCAACGAGGAAUGCCUAGUAGGCGCAAGUAAUCAGCUUGCGUCGAUUACGUCCCUGCCCUUUGUACACACCGCCCGUCGCUCCUACCGAUUGGGUGUGCUGGUGAAAUGUUCGGAUCGGCCGUUUGUCGCGGUUUCCGCGGCUCGUGGCUGAGAAGUUCAUUAAACCCUCCCACCUAGAGGAAGGAGAAGUCGUAACA